Non-coding RNA from Zootermopsis nevadensis, 2143 nucleotides. The record is from RefSeq and is a predicted model, not a curated record. NCBI's taxonomy places the organism in Eukaryota, Metazoa, Arthropoda, Insecta, Blattodea, Termopsidae.
CUGCUAGUUUUCCCACUGUGGUCCUAGCUAGGUGAAGGUCCUCUGCUAUGUCACUACUAGUGACACAGUUGAUCACCAACUUCAGCAAUUCCUGAAGCAGAAUGACAGCUCAAUUAGAAGUGCAUGUUGGAACUGAGUUCAAAGGUUAUGUAACGAUGUAUUGACUGCAGCAGUUACAAAUUGUCAAAUAAGGUGUGAUAUCAUUGAACACUGACCUGGGAUUCACUGGAGCCAUUAUAGAAAAAUGCCAUCUAAAUAUGGUGCAUUUUAAAUAAACAGAAUGUGAGGAUAUGGAUUGAAUUCAGCAGACUCAUGACAGUGACCAAUGACAGGCUAUCACAAAUAUAGUACUGAAACUUCAGGAUCCACAAAAAUUAUAUUCCAGGCACACAAACAGUCUGCUAAAUGAGUCAGCUGUACUCAGAAUUUUCAAGAGAAUGACACAGUACUUAAGAAUGAUACCAUCUGAAGUACCAAAACAUUCUAGCUGCUUAAUGAAGAAGUCUAGAAGCACCUGGAAACAGACCAAUACAAUGCAGGUUAUACUAUGGGAGAUAUGAGAAAGUUGGCCCUGAAAUUCUACAAAGCAAGAAAUGCUAUAUGACAGCUCACCACUAACUCUUCAUCAUCCCAUCGGAAUGACCUGACAGGCAGAAAUCCAAGCAGUUGUCCAAGGCAGCAAGCCACUAUCAUCUUUACAAGUGGAUCCUCAUGACACAGGAAGUCAGGAUUCACUAAAUUUUGUAGCAAUGGGAUAAACUCAUCAAAAUGCUUCCCUUCAGUAGUGUCUUCCUUUCCAAUUCUCUGCAGAUACAACAGCAAAUUCUGAAAGUAAUGCAACAAUAAUUCAGUACAAUCAGCCUUAGAGGAAAUAGAAAAUACACAUAUACACAAAUCACUGAUACUGUAUCAGUAUCAUAGCUUCUGUAGUGUUGACUAAAAUGGCAUGAUAAUUACAAUGGCAGACAGGAAAAGAUAACAAAGUAACCAAGUAGUCACAGCCUAUUUCAAGGUACUAUUCUCAUGUUUCUUGAAAGAACGAAUAAAACCAUAAAAACUUCAGUUCAUACAGCUGACACCCUGGCAAAAAUUCAAAAUCAGUACGAACUGAAUAUGAGUCAAAUGCAUUUCUGCCAAGCUAAACUUAAUGGCCAAAAAAAUGCUUUUUAAUGUGUAUUCAUGCUACAUAAAACAGUGAUAGUUAUCUUCCAUAUCUCUGCAGUAUGCACACUGGAACUCUUUAUUCCAAAACCAAACAUUACAGAACUCAAAGCAAGAAAAAACACACAGUAACUUCCAAAAAUGACAGGAUAUAAGAAAAUACAGCAACACUGUGACAGGUAAGCUGGAGCCUGUUCAUGCUAGCAUGUGUAUGUAGUUGCUGAAAGACUAUUUUGAAGGUGACUGCAUUUAUGGGAUUCUUAAUGCCACCAGAUUUGAGACAUGGCUCCUGUUCUGGAACUUCCUGAAGCUAUCAUGUACAACAGCAAGAGACAAGUAACUCUGGCACUUAUUCAAUGAGACUAAAUACAGAUACAGCAUUAAUGAAAAAGAGCAAUGAAGUGAUCUGUUUUUUAAAUUUGCUGAUGGCUCAGAAAUAUAGGUAUAGAUCAUAUGGGCUGAAUGCAUUAUAAAUAUCAGUAGAGUAUUACAGUACAAAAACAUUUUAAUAUACAAUUAGAUGGCUGCAUAGUCAUUCUCUGCUACCAAAAAUUUCAACGGUUCACAUUAAGGAUAACAUUAGUACUAACAGAAUGGAAGAAAUAAGUAGUUUUGUUUUAGUAUUUUAGUCUAUAAAAAUUUGUUUCACAUUUUUCACACUGACAUUACUCACACCUUUUUCAGAACAUAUCUUCAUGGCAGAGUUUAAGUACCUAAUUUCAACAUGCAACAACCUGAACAAGGUUUGACAACUGUUAAGACUCACUUUAAGCUCAGUAAUCAAGUCUUGCAAAGGCUGUUCAGCAUUUAUGAGUAGGCCCUCGACUGGAUAAUGAAUUUUACUAGACAUUGCAGAUCUGAAAACAAGCACAAUAUGUUAAUGAGCUGUGUAUUAUAUGACACAUUACACUAAUUUCUAUAAACUGUUUUUCCUAGUUAUAAAGUCCUAGAUUUAUUACAAUAAUAAGAGGAAAUGAGCAAA